Molecule: ribosomal RNA, 497 nt
Filed under: uncultured bacterium
Lineage: Bacteria
Description: partial 16S ribosomal RNA
Rfam family: Bacterial small subunit ribosomal RNA
Source: RNAcentral
GAUGAACGCUGGCGGCGUGCCUAAUACAUGCAAGUCGAGCGAACAGACGAGGAGCUUGCUCCUCUGACGUUAGCGGCGGACGGGUGAGUAACACGUGGAUAACCUACCUAUAAGACUGGGAUAACUUCGGGAAACCGGAGCUAAUACCGGAUAAUAUAUUGAACCGCAUGGUUCAAUAGUGAAAGACGGUUUUGCUGUCACUUAUAGAUGGAUCCGCGCCGCAUUAGCUAGUUGGUAAGGUAACGGCUUACCAAGGCAACGAUGCGUAGCUGACCUGAGAGGGUGAUCGGCCACACUGGAACUGAGACACGGUCCAGACUCCUACGGGAGGCAGCAGUAGGGAAUCUUCCGCAAUGGGCGAAAGCCUGACGGAGCAACGCCGCGUGAGUGAUGAAGGUCUUCGGAUCGUAAAACUCUGUUAUUAGGGAAGAACAAAUGUGUAAGUAACUAUGCACGUCUUGACGGUACCUAAUCAGAAAGCCACGGCUAGCUACGUG